CCUACGGGUGGCAGCAGUGAGGAAUAUUGGUCAAUGGCCGGAAGGCUGAACCAGCCAAGCCGCGUGAAGGACGAAGGUGCCAAGCAUUGUAAACUUCUUUUGUCAAGGGACAAAAUCAGGCUCGAGAGCCUGACCGAGGGUACUUGAAGAAAAAGCAUCGGCUAACUCCGUGCCAGCAGCCGCGGUAAUACGGAGGAUGCGAGCGUUAUCCGGUUUUAUGGGGUUUAAAGGGUGCGUAGGCGGACUGUUAAGUCAGCGGUAAAAGCCCGGGGCUCAACCCCGGCGAGCCGUUGAAACUGGGUGUCUUGAGAUGUCGAGAGGUAUGCGGAAUGCGCAGUGUAGCGGUGAAAUGCUUAGAUAUUGCGCAGAACUCCGAUUGCGAAGGCAGCAUACCGGCGGCGAUCUGACGCUGAGGCACGAAAGCGUGGGUAUCGAACAGGAUUAGAUACCCGUGUAGUC
RNAcentral lists this ribosomal RNA (459 nucleotides) under uncultured bacterium. RNAcentral describes it as "partial 16S ribosomal RNA". It matches the Rfam family "Bacterial small subunit ribosomal RNA", at positions 338 to 795 of the family's 1533-position model. The record is from RNAcentral.